GACAGAGGGUGCAAACGUUGUUCGGAAUUACUGGGCGUAAAGCGUGUGUAGGCGGCCACGUAAGUCGGAUGUGAAAGCCCCGGGCUCAACCCGGGAAGUGCACUCGAUACUGCGUGGCUUGAGUACUGGAGAGGUUGGUGGAAUUCUCGGUGUAGAGGUGAAAUUCGUAGAUAUCGAGAGGAACACCGGUGGCGGAGGCGGCCAACUGGACAGAUACUGACGCUGAGACACGAAAGCGUGGGGAGCAAACAGG
RNAcentral lists this ribosomal RNA (253 nucleotides) under uncultured bacterium. RNAcentral describes it as "partial 16S ribosomal RNA". It matches the Rfam family "Bacterial small subunit ribosomal RNA", at positions 524 to 776 of the family's 1533-position model. The record is from RNAcentral.